This 162-nucleotide RNase P RNA is filed under the name Rhodanobacter sp. Its description in RNAcentral is "partial RNase P RNA component class A". It matches the Rfam family "Bacterial RNase P class A", at positions 201 to 367 of the family's 367-position model. From Rfam's summary of the family: Ribonuclease P (RNase P) is a ubiquitous endoribonuclease, found in archaea, bacteria and eukarya as well as chloroplasts and mitochondria. Its best characterised activity is the generation of mature 5'-ends of tRNAs by cleaving the 5'-leader elements of precursor-tRNAs. The record is from RNAcentral. Lineage: Bacteria; Pseudomonadati; Pseudomonadota; Gammaproteobacteria; Lysobacterales; Rhodanobacteraceae.
GCACGGUAAACCCCACUCGGAGCAAGACCAAAUAGGGGAACGAUAACGCGGCCCGCGUUGUUCCCGGGUAGGUUGCUGGAGCCAGGCGGCGACGCCUGGCCGAGAGGAAUGACUGUCGCGCCGCAAGGCGUACAGAACCCGGCUUACAGGCCGACUCCACCU